UAGGAGGUGCUACAAGAAAAUGAAAUAGGAAUUGCAGAUGGGAAUGAACUUUGGAUGAGAAGUUUGGUAAGGAAAUGGGAAUUUCAUGACUUGAAUGCCAAAAAAAAUAAAGACUUAAAACUUGGGAGUGGUGAUUGAGAUUGAGAUUGAGACUGGAAUUGAGAAGAAAAAACCUUAAGAUCUAAAAAGAGAAAUGCUGGGUGAUGGAGGAUUUUUGUGCCAGUGGUGGUGGUGGGGAAAAGGAGGGGAUGG
RNAcentral lists this unclassified non-coding RNA (252 nucleotides) under Hevea brasiliensis (rubber tree). The record is from RNAcentral. Lineage: Eukaryota; Viridiplantae; Streptophyta; Magnoliopsida; Malpighiales; Euphorbiaceae.